Labeo rohita (rohu) is the source of this 780-nucleotide long non-coding RNA. RefSeq lists it as uncharacterized. Lineage: Eukaryota; Metazoa; Chordata; Actinopteri; Cypriniformes; Cyprinidae. The record is from RefSeq and is a predicted model, not a curated record. The transcript has 3 exons.
UUAAACAUGGCACCUGGGGCCGGUUGCAUAAACAUAGCCAUUAUCUUAAGACUAAGAAUAAGCCUGACCAACUAAAGUCAGUGGGGAAAGACUGUUGCAUAAAACAAGUGCAUGGUUGUCUUUAGUAAGACAGUCUAAUUUGCACUGCAUUGUGGGAAAAGUAAGACGCUAAACAGCUUAAACAAAAUGGCCGACAGUGGGCGCUCGUCGCAGUUUUCCUUUGCUGAAAAUAUUUGCAUAUUGGAGGAAUACAAUGCUGCAAAAUCGAUUUUAAUGAACAAAUUUAGCGAUUACAAUGCCAACAAUAAAAAACACAAGGCUUGGUCCACAAUAACGGAUAAAGUUAAUAGUAUAAAUCCUUCUGUCCCGCGGACCGUCAAAGAUGUAACUUACAGAAAUGGUUUAAAAACAUGGUGCAGGAAGCAAAGAAGGAAAUAUUCAAACGAAAAAAAAACAGCAACGGGAGGAGGACCAAGUGCAAAAUUAAAAAAAAAAAAAAACAGAAAUUAUCAUUGAAAUAUAUGGCGAUGAAUCGCCAAUGUUUUGGGGAAUCCCUGGAGGGAGGGAGAGCGGAGUUUCCUGCGUGACUUCACCUGCUGCUGGGGAAAAUACAUCGCCUCACACAGCUGUUGCAUCAGCGUCGCUUGGACAGUCUCCUGAUUGCGAGGUAACGUUAACGUUGGUCACUGAAGAAGCGCCAGUGACAAGUCAGGACCAAACAACACAAGCUAUUGUUGGAAAGGCGGGGCUUAGGACACCUGUCGAUCGAAGCCAUGAUGC